Molecule: ribosomal RNA, 656 nt
Filed under: uncultured bacterium
Lineage: Bacteria
Description: bacterial SSU rRNA
Rfam family: Bacterial small subunit ribosomal RNA
Source: RNAcentral
CAUUAGUACGCAGCUACGCGUGAAGUUGACCGCUGGGAGUACGUCGCAAGAUUAAACUCAAGAAUUGACGGGGCCCGCACAGCGGUGGAUUAUGUGGAUUAAUUCGAUGCAACGCGAAAAACCUUACCUGGCCUGACAUGUACGGAACUUUCCAGAGAUGGAUGGUGCCCGAAAGGGAGCUGUAACACAGGUGCUGCAUGGCUGUCGUCCAGCUCGUGUCGUGAGAUGUUGGGUUAAGUCCCGCAACGAGCGCAACCCUUGCCAUUAAUUGCCAUCAUUUAGUUGGGCACUUUAAUGGGACUGCCGGUGACAAACCGGAGGAAGGUGGGGAUGACGUCAAGUCCUCAUGGCCCUUAUGGCCAGGGCUUCACACGUAAUACAAUGGUCGGUACAGAGGGUAGCCAACCCGCGAGGGGGAGCCAAUCCCAGAAAGCCGAUCGUAGUCCGGAUUGCAGUCUGCAACUCGACUGCAUGAAGUCGGAAUCGCUAGUAAUCGCGGAUCAGCAUGUCGCGGUGAAUACGUUCCCGGGCCUUGUACACACCGCCCGUCACACCAUGGGAGUGGGUUCCACCAGAAGUAGGUAGUCUAACCGCAAGGGGGACGCUUACCACGGUGGGGUUCAUGACUGGGUGAAGUCGUAACAAGGUAACCGUAA